RNAcentral lists this unclassified non-coding RNA (2018 nucleotides) under Hevea brasiliensis (rubber tree). Lineage: Eukaryota; Viridiplantae; Streptophyta; Magnoliopsida; Malpighiales; Euphorbiaceae. The record is from RNAcentral.
AAAAAAUAUAAAAAAGGGAGAUGACAUUGAAGACAAAUUUUGCUUUUGAGAAGGUCAGAGUCACAAAAGGUAAAAUUAUUUUGGGGCCAAAAGGGAAUUUUGUCCCUCAACUAUCUGUUCUAAAAACAUCUCUGCAAAUCAAUGUAAAGGAUGAACUGAUGACAAGCAACAUUCCAUGUUUAGAGCAAAGUAACGAAGGAUGCAGCAGGGAACGAGUAGUAACUGACAGUUGUGAUAAGAUAUAAACCAUCCCAACCAGCACAUCUUCAAACCACCAUAAAAUGAAGCUAAUAUUUAAAAAUCAAAUGUUAUUGGAAAAGAAAAAAAAACUAACUACAAUCAGUGACUUGGCAAGCUUAAACCAUAAAUCUGUGACAUGAUUACCCACAUGGUAAGAGAGUCAUCCCGCAUAGAGGCAUUUAGUAAAUGCCAUUUGUUGCUAUGCCUUCAGCUUGCUACUCAUUCCACGUUUACUGUGCCAGACCUUACGCCUAUCUCCAUGCAUGGAGUUCUUGGCUGCCGCAGAACACUGAUGAGUUCGUUUACCUUUGCUCAUCUCUUUUUGGAGCUUGCGCCGCCUCAUCCGAUUCUCCAACCGGAUUCCUUUUAGAGCUCGAACCCUCCGCUCGAUUUCCAAAGCUUGCGAAAAGUUCCAGAUCCUUACAACACCCUCUUCUCCUCCACAUACUAUACGGUCAGCGCCAAUGUCCACCGAAAACAAAUUGGGCCCAAAUCCAUGUAGCAUCCUUUGGGGUGGUUCCACACUGCAGUCCACAUUUUUAGCCCUUGAAAUAUUCUUUCCCAAGGAGCGUCUGCUUGUCCUUGGUAGUUUUCUAACAUCUAUCAGUGACAACUUACCAUCACUAGAAGCUGAAAUCAGCCAUGGAAACUCAAAUGCAAGGGAAUAAACAGGACCAGAAUGAGGAAUCCAAGUUGCCACCUUAAAAACAUUUGCCAUGUAGUUGUGACCUAUGAUCUCAAACAUAUGUAUUGCCCCAUCUUCUCCUCCAGUAAAAAGGAAGUCCCCUGUGUGGCUUCUUGCCAAAGAAUAAGUGUUGCCAACAUGAGCACGGUCAAUAACAGUUAACGGAGUCCCACUACAAGCGUCCCAAACAUACACAUCUGAGCCUGAUGUGCUAGCAACUGUUGUAUCGUGUGGAGCAAGGCCCCAUACCCAGUCACUAUGUCUCAAGACCUUUAAGCACUUUAGAGAGGAACGAUCCCAUACACGAACAGUCAUGUCCCAUGAGCCGCUGUAAAUCCUCAUGAGGUCCAAUGCAAGAGAUGUUAUUGGUCCCUCAUGUUCCCAAAGUCUAAAUUCAGUAUUUGGCUCCUCAGAACCCUUAAGGUUGAACAAGUAUGGGAGACCCUCCACUGCCUUCCAACCUUGGAUGAAACCAUCAGUACCACCAGCAACCAAAAGCUUUGUAUCCGCUGCAACUGCUCGAAUAGUGCCUCCAAGGGGCCUUGAAGAUGAAAUAGACAGUCCAUCUUCCAUGUCCCAGAUCCGAACAAUGGAGUCAUACCCAGAAGUAAAAAUGAGCUUAGCAGAAGCCAAAAGGAAAACUGUUCUAACUGCUUCUGUAUGACCAUACAGAACAUCAAUGCUGUAACCACCCAAGAAAGUUUUACUCCUAAACUCUCUCUCCACAAACAAUUCCUUCCAUGACUUCUCAUCUGAAAGCCCCACGCCUAGUGGUGCAGGCACCAACGGGAGUCCCCAUCUCUCACAAUAGACUUCUUUCCAAACCUGGUUCUCAGAUGCAAGUCUAUUGAGAAUGGUCGAUACACACGAAACUACACCAAGCUCCUUAGGGUCAAGACAAUUAAGGAUUUCAGAAAUCAAGGCCGGAGGAAGGUCAGUGAUUGACCAGCGAUAAUUGGGAAAAACAUCAUUACAAGGCAGCUGUUUUGAACUUUCAGCUAUUGAAAUUGCCUUCUUAGAAUGGCAAUCAAAUGAGGAGUUUGAAAUUCCAGAAUUUUUUGCUUUUGGAUUAGAAUUCUCCUCACAAUUGUAA